CUAGCGGCAGGCCUAACACAUGCAAGUCGAGGGAGAAGCCCUUUCGGGGCAGAAACCGGCGCACGGGUGCGUAACGCGUAUGCAACCUACCUUUCACAGGGGGAUAGCCCGAAGAAAUUUGGAUUAAUACCCCAUAAUAUUAUUGGAUGGCAUCAUUUGAUAAUUAAAAUUACGAUGGUGAAAGAUGGGCAUGCGUCCUAUUAGCUAGUUGGAGUGGUAACGGCACCCCAAGGCUACGAUAGGUAGGGGUCCUGAGAGGGAGAUCCCCCACACUGGUACUGAGACAGGGACCAGACUCCUACGGGAGGCAGCAGUGAGGAAUAUUGGUCAAUGGUCGGAAGACUGAACCAGCCAUGCCGCGUGCAGGAAGAAUGCCUUAUGGGUUGUAAACUGCUUUUAUAUGGGAAGAAUAAGGAGUACGU
Molecule: ribosomal RNA, 422 nt
Filed under: Capnocytophaga granulosa
Lineage: Bacteria; Pseudomonadati; Bacteroidota; Flavobacteriia; Flavobacteriales; Flavobacteriaceae
Description: bacterial SSU rRNA
Rfam family: Bacterial small subunit ribosomal RNA
Source: RNAcentral